RNAcentral lists this transfer RNA (59 nucleotides) under Cyrtomium falcatum. RNAcentral describes it as "partial tRNA-Leu". The record is from RNAcentral. Lineage: Eukaryota; Viridiplantae; Streptophyta; Polypodiopsida; Polypodiales; Dryopteridaceae. RNAcentral also lists the same sequence under 1 other name.
GAACGAAAAUCCGUUGGUUUUUCAGGACCGUGAGGGUUCGACUCCCUCUAUCCCCAACG